Molecule: long non-coding RNA, 349 nt
Organism: Zingiber officinale
Lineage: Eukaryota; Viridiplantae; Streptophyta; Magnoliopsida; Zingiberales; Zingiberaceae
Exons: 2
Source: RefSeq, a predicted model, not a curated record
AGCGUCGGUCGGCAAGCCGUGAGUGCCAGCAAAACACCUUGUUAUCGGCUUGAGUUUCUGGCAUUAGGGCUUCCAGUGGCAGCUUUGUCCGGUUUUUGGUCAUUUCAGGCAGUAAAGGAAGAGUGAGGAGUUUCGGCAGCCAACAGCCCUUAACGGCAGCCCUCAUUCCAGCAUCUUCUUGUUCUUGAAUAAGCUGUGGAACUUGAGGUAAGGUUUGGGGUUGUGGUCUUUGUUGUAGAUGAUUUCUAGUAGUGUUAGCAAAAGUUGUUAACUUAAGUUUAGAAAUAAAUCUAAAGGUGUAAUUAGGGUUAAUGAAGCUAACCCUAGUUGGACGAUGGAUUAGAAUUUA